GGUAGCCAUUAAUAGGAUUCAAAAAUAUUGGUGUUGCUGUUUCUUUGCCAUCAUUAAAUGUAAUGGGUGUGGUCUGCCAUAGUCUGUAAUUGGGUAAUCAUUUGAAAUGCAGCUGACUCCUGUGCUUCAGAGGGGGCUGGAAUGCAGAUCACUCUCGCAAAAAUGUACAAAUCCAACCCUAUUUACAGUAACUCCAGCAUGAAAUCCACAUCAUGGAGUGUGUACAGCUUUGGACAAUCUCCUUCCGCUCAUUGGUUGAAUCAAGCCAAACUCUUUGUGAUGUGGAUUGCCGUCUUCUUGGAUAGAAGCUCUGUCCUUCAAGCACAUUUCAUCACAGAAGGCCAGUACCGUAUCUAUUUUUAGAGCCAAACUAUCUUUGCCACCAUCUAAGAUUCUCUCAAUACUUUUAUCACAUGAAGCAAUUUCAUUUCCAAGUUUAAGUUGUUGAUCAUACAAUUUCUGUCGUUUUUGAAAAAGAACUUCAAGGGAACUUUUUGUCAAAGCCUCCUCUUUUGAAGCCAAAACAGUUUGUAGAUCGCUUAUAUCUGUAGAUUCAUGCUUGCAAGGAACAAAUCGAGUAUGUGCCACAGAAAUCCCAUUUUGAUUGGAUGAGACAGUGGAAAGGUCUUCUUUAUCAGCCUUCACCUCAUCAGCUCUUUCUGCCUUGCGAAUUAUACCACUUCCAAUGAUUUCUCCAUCACUCUCCCUCGUCCUCUUU
Molecule: unclassified non-coding RNA, 718 nt
Filed under: Hevea brasiliensis (rubber tree)
Lineage: Eukaryota; Viridiplantae; Streptophyta; Magnoliopsida; Malpighiales; Euphorbiaceae
Source: RNAcentral